UACAGAGGGUGCGAGCGUUAAUCGGAAUUACUGGGCGUAAAGGGUGCGUAGGCGGUUAGUUAAGUUAGAUGUGAAAUCCCUGGGCUUAACCUAGGAACUGCAUAUAAUACUGGCUAGCUAGAGUGCAGUAGAGGGUAGUGGAAUUUCCGGUGUAGCGGUGAAAUGCGUAGAUAUCGGAAGGAACACCAGUGGCGAAGGCGGCUACCUGGACUGACACUGACGCUGAGGCGCGAGAGCGUGGGGAGCAAACAGG
Molecule: ribosomal RNA, 253 nt
Filed under: uncultured bacterium
Lineage: Bacteria
Description: partial 16S ribosomal RNA
Rfam family: Bacterial small subunit ribosomal RNA
Source: RNAcentral